GACAGAGGGGGCGAGCGUUAAUCGGAUUUACUGGGCGUAAAGCGUGCGCAGGCGGUUCGCUAAGACAGGUGUGAAAUCCCUGGGCUCAACCUAGGAAUUGCGCUUGUGACUGGCGGGCUAGAGUACGGUAGAGGGGGGUGGAAUUCCUGGUGUAGCAGUGAAAUGCGUAGAGAUCAGGAGGAACACCGAUGGCGAAGGCAGCCCCCUGGGCCUGUACUGACGCUCAGGCACGAAAGCGUGGGGAGCAAACAGG
RNAcentral lists this ribosomal RNA (253 nucleotides) under uncultured bacterium. Its description in RNAcentral is "partial 16S ribosomal RNA". It matches the Rfam family "Bacterial small subunit ribosomal RNA", at positions 524 to 776 of the family's 1533-position model. The record is from RNAcentral.